This 200-nucleotide unclassified non-coding RNA is filed under the name Humicola sp. RNAcentral describes it as "partial internal transcribed spacer 2". Lineage: Eukaryota; Fungi; Ascomycota; Sordariomycetes; Sordariales; Chaetomiaceae. The record is from RNAcentral.
UUAAGUUCAGCGGGUAGCACUACCUGAUCCGAGGUCAACCUUGGGUAAAUAAGGCUUUUAACGGCCGGAACCCGCAGCACUCCCAGAGCGAGAUGUAUUACUACGCUCGGGGUGACAGCGAGCCCGCCACUGGUUUCAGGGCCUGCGGCAGCCGCAGGUCCCCAACACAAGCCGGGGGCUUGAUGGUUGAAAUGACGCUC